CCUACGGGUGGCAGCAGUCGAGAAUCAUUCACAAUGGAGGAAACUCUGAUGGUGCGACGCCGCGUGGGGGAAUGAAGGUCUUCGGAUUGUAAACCCCUGUCAUGUGGGAGCAAAUUAAAAUGAUCGUACCACAAGAGGAAUAGACGGCUAACUCUGUGCAAGCAGCCGCGGUAAUACAGAGGUCUCAAGCGUUGUUCGGAAUCACUGGGCGUAAAGUGUGCGUAGGCUGUUUCGUAAGUCGGGUGUGAAAGGCGCGGGCUCAACCCGCGGACGGCACAUGAUACUGGGCGACUAGAGUAAUGGAGGGGGAACCGGAAUUCUCGGUGUAGCAGUGAAAUGCGUAGAUAUCGAGAGGAACACCCGUGGCGAAGGCAGGUUCCUGGACAUUAACUGACGCUGAGGCACGAAGGCCAGGGGAGCGAAAGGGAUUAGAUACCCCAGUAGUC
Molecule: ribosomal RNA, 446 nt
Filed under: uncultured bacterium
Lineage: Bacteria
Description: partial 16S ribosomal RNA
Rfam family: Bacterial small subunit ribosomal RNA
Source: RNAcentral